This 254-nucleotide ribosomal RNA is filed under the name uncultured bacterium. RNAcentral's name for it is "partial 16S ribosomal RNA". It matches the Rfam family "Bacterial small subunit ribosomal RNA", at positions 524 to 776 of the family's 1533-position model. The record is from RNAcentral.
UACGGAGGGGGCUAGCGUUGUUCGGAAUCACUGGGCGUAAAGGGCGCGCAGGCGGCUUAACAAGUUGGAAGUGAAAUCCUAUGGCUUAACCAUAGAACUGCUUUCAAAAACUGUUAGGCUAGAGUAUGGUAGAGGAUGGUGGAAUUCCUAGUGUAGAGGUGAAAUUCGUAGAUAUUAGGAGGAACACCGGUGGCGAAAGCGACCAUCUGGGCCAUUACUGACGCUGAGGCGCGAAAGCGUGGGGAGCAAACAGG